CGUCAUGGCCAUAUUCAGAAAUAAGCACCGGAACCGUCAGAUCUCCAAAGUUAGCUUCUAAAAGCCAUGUUAGUACUCAAGCGAGAGAUCAUUGGGGAAAACAUGGUUUCGCGAUCU
Molecule: ribosomal RNA, 117 nt
Filed under: Edhazardia aedis USNM 41457
Lineage: Eukaryota; Fungi; Microsporidia; Culicosporidae
Source: RNAcentral